Acanthosepion pharaonis is the source of this 118-nucleotide non-coding RNA. NCBI's taxonomy places the organism in Eukaryota, Metazoa, Mollusca, Cephalopoda, Sepiida, Sepiidae. The record is from the annotation of a GenBank genome assembly.
UACAACCAUAUCAUGUUGAAACACUGGUUCUCACAUAAUCACCAAUCACCAAAGUUAAGCAACAUUGAGCCUGGUCAGUACCUAUAUGUGUGACUGCCUGGGAAUACCAGGUGCUAUA